GAUGAACGCUGGCGGCGUGCCUAAUACAUGCAAGUCGAGCGAACAGAUGAGGAGCUUGCUCCUCUGACGUUAGCGGCGGACGGGUGAGUAACACGUGGAUAACCUACCUAUAAGACUGGGAUAACUUCGGGAAACCGGAGCUAAUACCGGAUAAUAUAUUGAACCGCAUGGUUCAAUAGUGAAAGACGGUUUUGCUGUCACUUAUAGAUGGAUCCGCGCCGCAUUAGCUAGUUGGUAAGGUAACGGCUUACCAAGGCAACGAUGCGUAGCCGACCUGAGAGGGUGAUCGGCCACACUGGAACUGAGACACGGUCCAGACUCCUACGGGAGGCAGCAGUAGGGAAUCUUGCGCAAUGGGCGAAAGCCUGACGGAGCAACGCCGCGUGAGUGAUGAAGGUCUUCGGAUCGUAAAACUCUGUUAUUAGGGAAGAACAAAUGUGUAAGUAACUAUGCACGUCUUGACGGUACCUAAUCAGAAAGCAACGGCUAACUACGUG
This 497-nucleotide ribosomal RNA is filed under the name uncultured bacterium. RNAcentral's name for it is "partial 16S ribosomal RNA". It matches the Rfam family "Bacterial small subunit ribosomal RNA", at positions 28 to 507 of the family's 1533-position model. The record is from RNAcentral.